RNAcentral lists this ribosomal RNA (707 nucleotides) under uncultured bacterium. Its description in RNAcentral is "bacterial SSU rRNA". It matches the Rfam family "Bacterial small subunit ribosomal RNA", at positions 46 to 748 of the family's 1533-position model. The record is from RNAcentral.
GCUUAACACAUGCAAGUCGGACGGCAGCGCGGGGAGCUUGCUCUCUGGCGGCGAGUGGCGGACGGGUGAGUAACGCGUGGGAAUCUGCCCUGUAGUGGGGGAUAACCCGAGGAAACUCGGGCUAAUACCGCAUACGACCUUAGGGUGAAAGUGGGUCCUUUUAGGGCACACGCUAUGGGAUGAGCCUGCGUCCGAUUAGCUAGUUGGUGUGGUAAAGGCACACCAAGGCGACGAUCGGUAGCUGGUCUGAGAGGAUGAUCAGCCACACUGGGGCUGAGACACGGCCCAGACUCCUACGGGAGGCAGCAGUGGGGAAUAUUGGACAAUGGGGGCAACCCUGAUCCAGCAAUGCCGCGUGUGUGAAGAAGGCCUGCGGGUUGUAAAGCACUUUCAGUGGGGAAGAUGGGCUGCGUGUAACGAGCGUGGUUUGACGUUACCCACAGAAGAAGCACCGGCUAACUCCGUGCCAGCAGCCGCGGUAAUACGGAGGGUGCGAGCGUUAAUCGGAAUUACUGGGCGUAAAGCGCGCGUAGGCGGCUGGGUAAGUCAGAUGUGAAAGCCCCGGGCUCAACCUGGGAAUUGCAUUUGAUACUGCCUGGCUAGAGUCUGUCAGAGGGUGGCGGAAUUCCGGGUGUAGCGGUGAAAUGCGUAGAUAUCCGGAGGAACACCAGUGGCGAAGGCGGCCACCUGGGGCGAGACUGACGCUG